GAAGAGGAGGAGGUGGAGGAUGAGGGAUGAGGAUGAGGACGAGGAUGAGGAGCAGGACGGGGAGAAGGAUGAAGAUGAGGAUGAAGACGAGGAUUAACAUGAGGAGGAGGAGGAGGAUGAAGAAGGGGAUGAGGAGGAGGAGGAGGAGGAGGAUGAAAAUGAGGACAAGGAGGAGGACG
Molecule: long non-coding RNA, 179 nt
Filed under: Numida meleagris (helmeted guineafowl)
Lineage: Eukaryota; Metazoa; Chordata; Aves; Galliformes; Numididae
Description: lncRNA (ENSNMEG00000001238.1)
Source: RNAcentral